UACGGAGGGUGCAAGCGUUGUUCGGAUUUAUUGGGCGUAAAGGGCGUGUAGGCGGUUCGUUAAGUCUGAUGUGAAAGCCCCGGGCUCAACCCGGGAAGUGCAUUGGAAACUGGCGAACUUGAGUACGGGAGAGGGCAGUGGAAUUCCUAGUGUAGGAGUGAAAUCCGUAGAUAUUAGGAGGAACACCGGUGGCGAAGGCGGCUGCCUGGACCGAUACUGACGCUGAGACGCGAAAGCGUGGGAGCAAACAGG
Molecule: ribosomal RNA, 252 nt
Filed under: uncultured bacterium
Lineage: Bacteria
Description: partial 16S ribosomal RNA
Rfam family: Bacterial small subunit ribosomal RNA
Source: RNAcentral